GGGCGUCUCCUUUCUCAUUGCGAGUGGAGGCGCACCCAGAGCGUACACGCUGAUACCCGAAAGAUGGUGAACUAUGCCUGGCCAGGACGAAGCCAGGGGAAACCCUGGUGGAGGUCCGCAGCGAUUCUGACGUGCAAAUCGAUCGUCGGAGCUGGGUAUAGGGGCGAAAGACCAAUCGAACCAUCUAGUAGCUGGUUCCCUCCGAAGUUUCCCUCAGGAUAGCUUGCGCUCAUGUGAACGAGUCUCAUCCGGUAGAGCGAAUGAUUAGAGGCCUUGGGGUCGAAACGACCUCAACCUAUUCUCAAACUCCAAAUAGAUGAGAACUCCGGCUUUCUUGAACUUUGUUUUUGAAGCCGGGGGCUCGGAUCAGAGUGCCAAGUGGGCCAAUUUU
RNAcentral lists this ribosomal RNA (391 nucleotides) under Plagiognathus yomogi. RNAcentral's name for it is "eukaryotic LSU rRNA". It matches the Rfam family "Eukaryotic large subunit ribosomal RNA", at positions 763 to 1138 of the family's 3401-position model. The record is from RNAcentral. Lineage: Eukaryota; Metazoa; Arthropoda; Insecta; Hemiptera; Miridae.